Molecule: ribosomal RNA, 914 nt
Filed under: uncultured bacterium
Lineage: Bacteria
Description: bacterial SSU rRNA
Rfam family: Bacterial small subunit ribosomal RNA
Source: RNAcentral
AGAGUUUGAUCAUGGCUCAGGACGAACGCUGGCGGCGUGCUUAACACAUGCAAGUCGAGCGGUAAGGCCCUUUCGGGGUACACGAGCGGCGAACGGGUGAGUAACACGUGAGUAACCUGCCCCUGACUCUGGGAUAAGCCCGGGAAACCGGGUCUAAUACCGGAUAUGACUCCUGCUCGCAUGGGUGGGGGUGGAAAGGUUGGUUUUCCUUCCGGUCGGGGAUGGGCUCGCGGCCUAUCAGCUUGUUGGUGGGGUGACGGCCUACCAAGGCGAUGACGGGUAGCCGGCCUGAGUGGGCGACCGGCCACACUGGGACUGAGACACGGCCCAGACUCCUGCGGGAGGCAGCAGUGGGGAAUAUUGCGCAAUGGGCGGAAGCCUGACGCAGCGACGCCGCGUGGGGAUGAAGGCCUUCGGGUUGUAAACCUCUUUUACCACUCACGCAGGCCUUGGGUUUUCCUGGGGUUGACGGUAGGUGGUGAAUAAGGACCGGCUAACUACGUGCCAGCAGCCGCGGUAAUACGUAGGGUCCGAGCGUUGUCCGGAAUUAUUGGGCGUAAAGAGCUCGUAGGCGGCCUGUCGCGUCUGCUGUGAAAGUCCGGGGCUUAACUCCGGGUGUGCAGUGGAUACGGGCAGGCUUGAGGUAGGUAGGGGAGACUGGAAUUCCUGGUGUAGCGGUGAAAUGCGCAGAUAUCAGGAGGAACACCGGUGGCGAAGGCGGGUCUCUGGGCCUUACCUGACGCUGAGGAGCGAAAGCGUGGGGAGCGAACAGGAUUAGAUACCCUGGUAGUCCACGCCGUAAACGUUGGGCGCUAGGUGUGGGGACUUUCCACGGUUUCCGUGCCGUAGCUAACGCAUUAAGCGCCCCGCCUGGGGAGUACGGCCGCAAGGCUAAAACUCAAAGGAAUUGACGG